GGUCCUGAGGUGUUAUCAUGUCGGAUUGCAAAUCCGAAGUCGCGGGUGACUCUCGCCGGGACUU
This 64-nucleotide transfer RNA is filed under the name Leptobrachium boringii (Emei moustache toad). RNAcentral's name for it is "tRNA-Cys". The record is from RNAcentral. Lineage: Eukaryota; Metazoa; Chordata; Amphibia; Anura; Megophryidae.